GACGAACGCUGGCGGCGUGCCUAAUACAUGCCAGUAGAACGCUGAAGAGAGGAGCUUGCUCUUCUUGGAUGAGUUGCGAACGGGUGAGUAACGCGUAGGUAACCUGCCUUGUAGCGGGGGAUAACUAUUGGAAACGAUAGCUAAUACCGCAUAACAAUAGGUGACACAUGUCAUUUAUUUGAAAGGGGCAAUUGCUCCACUACAAGAUGGACCUGCGUUGUAUUAGCUAGUAGGUGAGGUAACGGCUCACCUAGGCGACGAUACAUAGCCGACCUGAGGGGGUGAUCGGCCACACUGGGACUGAGACACGGCCCAGACUCCUACGGGAGGCAGCAGUAGGGAAUCUUCGGCAAUGGGGGCAACCCUGACCGAGCAACGCCGCGUGAGUGAAGAAUGUUUUCGGAUCGUAAAGCUCUGUUGUAAGUCAAGAACGAGUGUGAGAGUGGAAAGUUCACACUGUGACGGUAGCUUACCAGAAAGGGACGGCUAACUACGUG
RNAcentral lists this ribosomal RNA (497 nucleotides) under uncultured bacterium. RNAcentral describes it as "partial 16S ribosomal RNA". It matches the Rfam family "Bacterial small subunit ribosomal RNA", at positions 28 to 507 of the family's 1533-position model. The record is from RNAcentral.